GAUGCACUAUGUUGACUACUCCAUGAUGUACCACCUGAUAAGGGGGCAGUCCGUCAUCAAGCUCUACAUCAUCUACAACAUGCUGGAGGUAGCUGAUCGUCUGUUUUCAUCUUUUGGACAAGAUAUAUUAGAUGCUCUCUAUUGGACAGCAACAGAGCCUAAAGAAAGAAAAAGAGCCCACAUUGGGGUGAUUCCUCACUUUUUCAUGGCUGUUCUCUAUGUCUUUUUCCAUGCAAUUCUUAUAAUGGUUCAAGCAACAACUCUCAAUGUAGCUUUUAACUCACACAACAAGUCUUUGCUUACUAUCAUGAUGUCUAAUAAUUUUGUUGAAAUUAAAGGAAGUGUUUUCAAGAAGUUUGAAAAGAACAAUCUCUUUCAAAUGUCAAAUAGCGAUAUUAAGGAACGAUUCACAAAUUAUGUACUUUUACUGAUAGUUUGUCUAAGAAACAUGGAACAGUUUUCUUGGAAUCCAGGUAACUCACUCUUAACAAAACAGUGUCUUAUAAUUUUACUUCUAAGCCAAAAUCAUUCUUUUACAUGGAAUAAAAUGAAUAUUGCAGAAAACUUCAAAAGACUUUGGCUGUUUUACUGUUUGGGUAUUGGAGAAACAAUCAUCUGUCACAUAAUGACCUUCAGUCAACAAUAGACCACAUAUAC
This 657-nucleotide small RNA is filed under the name Pongo abelii (Sumatran orangutan). RNAcentral's name for it is "retained intron". The record is from RNAcentral. Lineage: Eukaryota; Metazoa; Chordata; Mammalia; Primates; Hominidae.